RNAcentral lists this ribosomal RNA (230 nucleotides) under uncultured bacterium. RNAcentral's name for it is "partial 16S ribosomal RNA". It matches the Rfam family "Bacterial small subunit ribosomal RNA", at positions 109 to 339 of the family's 1533-position model. The record is from RNAcentral.
CGUAACACGUAUGCAACCUACCUCUAACUGGAGAAUAGCCCAGAGAAAUCUGGAUUAAUACUCCAUAACAUUACGAGACCACAUGGUUUUGUUCUUAAAGCUUCGGCGGUUAGAGAUGGGCAUGCGGGACAUUAGUUUGUUGGUGAGGUAACGGCUCACCAAGACUACGAUGUCUAGGGGUUCUGAGAGGAUUAUCCCCCACACUGGUACUGAGACACGGACCAGACUCC